UACAGAGGGUGCGAGCGUUAAUCGGAAUUACUGGGCGUAAAGCGUGCGCAGACGGUCACGUAAGUCGGGUGUGAAAGCCCCGGGCUCAACCUGGGAAUUGCAUUCGAGACUGCGUGGCUAGGGUGCGGAGAGGGAAGCGGAAUUUCCGGUGUAGCGGUGAAAUGCGUAGAUAUCGGAAGGAACACCAGUGGCGAAAGCGGCUUCCUGGUCCAGCACCGACGUCAGGCACGAAAGCGUGGG
Molecule: ribosomal RNA, 240 nt
Filed under: uncultured bacterium
Lineage: Bacteria
Description: partial 16S ribosomal RNA
Rfam family: Bacterial small subunit ribosomal RNA
Source: RNAcentral